RNAcentral lists this ribosomal RNA (522 nucleotides) under Klebsiella pneumoniae. RNAcentral describes it as "bacterial SSU rRNA". It matches the Rfam family "Bacterial small subunit ribosomal RNA", at positions 1011 to 1533 of the family's 1533-position model. RNAcentral also lists the same sequence under 10 other names. Lineage: Bacteria; Pseudomonadati; Pseudomonadota; Gammaproteobacteria; Enterobacterales; Enterobacteriaceae. The record is from RNAcentral.
UUGGUGCCUUCGGGAACUGUGAGACAGGUGCUGCAUGGCUGUCGUCAGCUCGUGUUGUGAAAUGUUGGGUUAAGUCCCGCAACGAGCGCAACCCUUAUCCUUUGUUGCCAGCGGUCCGGCCGGGAACUCAAAGGAGACUGCCAGUGAUAAACUGGAGGAAGGUGGGGAUGACGUCAAGUCAUCAUGGCCCUUACGACCAGGGCUACACACGUGCUACAAUGGCAUAUACAAAGAGAAGCGACCUCGCGAGAGCAAGCGGACCUCAUAAAGUAUGUCGUAGUCCGGAUUGGAGUCUGCAACUCGACUCCAUGAAGUCGGAAUCGCUAGUAAUCGUAGAUCAGAAUGCUACGGUGAAUACGUUCCCGGGCCUUGUACACACCGCCCGUCACACCAUGGGAGUGGGUUGCAAAAGAAGUAGGUAGCUUAACCUUCGGGAGGGCGCUUACCACUUUGUGAUUCAUGACUGGGGUGAAGUCGUAACAAGGUAACCGUAGGGGAACCUGCGGUUGGAUCACCUCCUUA